CCCUUAGAUGUUCUGGGCUGCACACGUGCUACACUGGCAGGUUCAGCGAGCUUCAUGCCCUGAUCUGAAAGGAAUGGGAAAUCUUUUCAAAACCUGCCGUGCUUGGGAUAGAUGUUUGCAAUUAUUCAUCUUCAACGAGGAUUGCCUUGUAAGCGCACGUCAUCAGCGUGCAUUGAAUACGACCCUGUAUUCUGUACACACCGCCCGUCGCUCCUACCGAUUGAAGUUUUCGGUGAGUUGACAGGAGGAUUUUUUUGAAACUGGUUCGCCAGUGGAUUUUAGAUCCAAAUGCCAACGAAUCGAUGGCUUUAGAGGAGGGAGAAGUCGUAACA
RNAcentral lists this ribosomal RNA (332 nucleotides) under uncultured eukaryote. RNAcentral's name for it is "partial 18S ribosomal RNA". It matches the Rfam family "Eukaryotic small subunit ribosomal RNA", at positions 1470 to 1796 of the family's 1831-position model. The record is from RNAcentral.